GGGCGUGUAGCUCAGUUGGUUAGAGCAUUCGCUUGAUAAGCGAAAGGUCGACAGUUCGAGUCUGUCCACGCCCA
RNAcentral lists this transfer RNA (74 nucleotides) under Planctomycetota bacterium. Its description in RNAcentral is "Planctomycetes bacterium tRNA-Ile". It matches the Rfam family "tRNA". Rfam says of the family: Transfer RNA (tRNA) molecules are approximately 80 nucleotides in length. Their secondary structure includes four short double-helical elements and three loops (D, anti-codon, and T loops). Further hydrogen bonds mediate the characteristic L-shaped molecular structure. tRNAs have two regions of fundamental functional importance: the anti-codon, which is responsible for specific mRNA codon recognition, and the 3' end, to which the tRNAs corresponding amino acid is attached (by aminoacyl-tRNA synthetases). tRNAs cope with the degeneracy of the genetic code in two manners: having more than one tRNA (with a specific anti-codon) for a particular amino acid; and 'wobble' base-pairing, i.e. permitting non-standard base-pairing at the 3rd anti-codon position. Lineage: Bacteria; Pseudomonadati; Planctomycetota. The record is from RNAcentral.